Molecule: long non-coding RNA, 454 nt
Filed under: Felis catus (domestic cat)
Lineage: Eukaryota; Metazoa; Chordata; Mammalia; Carnivora; Felidae
Description: lncRNA (ENSFCAG00000043155.2)
Source: RNAcentral
CCUCCCAAGAACACUGUGCCUUGGAGAACCAUGAUAUCAACACUGGGUAUGUGAGAACCUGGAGUACCACAAGUCAACUCUGUCUUCUGCAUCCUCCCCACCAGGCCCUGAACGGAAUGACCUGAGAAACAAUGGGGAAGGAACCUGCAUGUCCUUGCAGGAAUUAGUAGAUUCUCAAAGACUUUCCGGAAGCAACAAAGAACUUGAAGAAAGAUGCAUCUUCCUUCACUGGCACCACCCAAUCCCUUCAAUAAAAAAAAUCAAAAGAAAUCAAAAGGAGAGGAUAAAGACCUGCAUUAGAAUCACAUCUCCUCUACCUACCAGCCUUGUGAUUUUGGCAACAAACAGAUGGAGUUUAGGAUUGGUGAAUUCAAAUCAUCAAGCUCACAAACUGGGAGAAGAUGGACUGGGUCUAAGAACAGACUGCAUUGUUGAAGACAAAAUGAAAGGGUAA